RNAcentral lists this long non-coding RNA (608 nucleotides) under Vigna radiata. RNAcentral's name for it is "long non-coding RNA (VRAD_LNC005021)". Lineage: Eukaryota; Viridiplantae; Streptophyta; Magnoliopsida; Fabales; Fabaceae. The record is from RNAcentral.
AAUCUGUGUUGCUUCUAUUUCAAAGACGCCGCCCACCAACUCCCAUUACCUCAAGCUGGAAGGUUAAUUGCUAAAUGAAAACUAACGUGCCUUCACCAAAUGAAAAGGAAAUGAAUGUGUAUUACAUCAAUCACCAAUCACCUCUUCAGUGUGUGCCCCAUUUCCAAAUUGAAAACAAACAUCUUUCUCUAAAAGAAAAUUAGUAUCCGCGUGUGCAUCUCAUUCUUCAAAGCCAAAAUCAGCACACGUGCUUCCUAUGGACGUGAAAACAUCUACCAACCUUCACCUAAUUUUCUCUUCAACUCACGGAAAUUAUGGUGCAGCUCAACAAGCAACUUCUACCAUCACAUUGCUAAAUAAAAUAAAAGAAAGUGUUUCUACAAUUGUAAGGUUGAUGUGACGUGUGAAAAGAAUUGAAAGAUGAAUAAAAUAAAAUUCAUUCUACAAUCACCAUUUCAUACUACCGGUACCGAGAAAGAAAUUGGGCAUUUAAUACCAUGUAACAGCGUGUGCACAGCUUUUGAAAGCAAGGAAAUGAAGAAAAAAAUACUACCUUGCACAAAACUAAAGGGAAAGAACGUUUCUUUAUUAUUCAACCAAAAGGAAAA